AGUUACUGCCACCCUCUCCCAGGUCUAGAGAGGGGUACCCACGGUGGAGGGAGGUGGGAGGCCGAGACGGCCCCGGGGGUCGGCGGAGACCCAGCGGGAGCAGGGGGAAAUCGGAAGAGCUGGGGGCAUGGAGCGGGCGAGUUUGGAGCGGAAUGAGCCGGGAGCCCUACGUUGUGGAAGGAAGACAACAGUAUAGGACCAUCAGCAGGACCGGACAGAGAGGGGCACACCAGGCUGGCCUUGAACUCAGAAAUCCGCCUGCCUCUGACUCCCGAGUGCUGAGAUUAAAGGUGUGCACCACCACACCCGACAAGGAAGCCUGUUUUAAGAAGUGAUUCCAUGGAGGAGUUCUGCGGCGGCUCAGGGCUUGACUAAACAGUGGACCUCAGGUAAGAUGCUGCCUUGAAAGACUGUCUAAGGCUUUUUUUUUUUUUUUUUUUUUUUUGAGACAGGGUUUCUCUGUGUAGCCCUGGCUGUCCUGGAACCCACUCUAAACCAGUCUGGCCUCAAACUCAGAAACCCACCUGCCUCUGCCUCCUAAAUGCUGGGAUUAAAGGGUGUGCCACCACUGCUCUGCUAGUCUAAGGCUUUCCAGAGAAGGAUCAUGUUCUUGCAGGGUCCCAUUUCUCUCAGUAGACAAGAGAGGCUAAACCAGGCUGCAGGUGACAGGAAGAAUUGAAUAAACUGAAAGCAAAGGGCAGCCUUCUAAUUACGCUUCGUGGCUAUGUGGACAACCUGGAGAAGUCUGGAAACGUGAGUGGUGCUAAUCCCCUUUGUAAUGAAAGGCCCGGGUAAAAACAGAUGGGGCAAGUAGGUGUAAUGGGUAUUUCAGGAGCUUGAAUCUGAUGUCACAGCUUGUCUGGAUGGGACGUGCAUCUACUUGCAGAGCUAUGUUCCCAUCUAGUGUAAUUGUGGGUGUUUUAAUUCAGGCGUCACCUCUAUUUUGUCCUCUCUCCACAGCUUUCCUCCUCCAUUUUACUACUUGAGGGAGCAGUGGGUGGGAUACUAGGCAAGUAGCUGCAAUGGCUGGUGCUUUAUGGUUCCCUGGCAUCCCCUGAAUCUGUUAACAUCCCAACCUUCUUGACAGCCAGCCCCACCCCAUCACAUUCUUACUCCUUCCCUUUCCAAGAAAGAAGCCAGAAGCCCGAAGCCAGCAGUAGAGCUCUGACUGGCUUGUAUGCCUAGAAAGGAAGGGCUCUUCUUUCGCCUCACGGGCACAAAUGGGACCCACGAGCGCCGAUUUCAGACUAUUCUGAUCCCUUCAAAAAGAAAGUUAGGAGUCCAGGCUACUGUGAGUGAAUUUGAUUCUAAUUGUUUCAGAGAAUAUGGAAUAAAAUAUCUCAUUUGCAGUUGUUUA
RNAcentral lists this long non-coding RNA (1357 nucleotides) under Mus musculus (house mouse). RNAcentral's name for it is "predicted gene 20544". The record is from RNAcentral. Lineage: Eukaryota; Metazoa; Chordata; Mammalia; Rodentia; Muridae.